Molecule: RNA transcript, 7677 nt
Organism: Meriones unguiculatus (Mongolian gerbil)
Lineage: Eukaryota; Metazoa; Chordata; Mammalia; Rodentia; Muridae
Exons: 8
Source: RefSeq, a predicted model, not a curated record
AAAAAAAAAAGAAAGAAAGAAAGAAAGAAAAAGAAAGAAAGAAACGAAAAGAAAAAGAAAAGAAAGAAAGAAGAAAUAAAAGAAAAAAAAAGACAGCUUUGGACAAAAGUCCACAGCCAGUGUGUUCCAAGCCCCUGCACAGGGCUGGCUGUAGCAGGGGACAUUCUCCUGCUGGCUCUCUCUGUCCACACUUAGCUGGCUCCUGUGCUCAGGUGCACGGCCACACCCUUGCACCCAGUCUUGAGCCUCUUAAUGGCGAAAGUCCCAGGACUUGUCAGCUGGGACAGGCCUCACCCCCAAGAGCUCUGUGCAGUGCUGAGAAGCAAACCUGACAGAUUUCUCCAGAAAAGUGGCCAUCCGUGGAAAUGAGGGAAAUAUUCUUUCUAUUCCAGGGAUUGCACAGGCAAAGCUGGGCUAGGUCUUGGAGGCUGUGUAAGGCGGUGCGGUAAGGCUGAUGGAAGAGACUGAUCGAAGAAAAGCUGAAAUGGAUUCUCCGUGCCUUGGAUGGAGGAAGAGGGGGAAGUAGGGAGCUCCUUCAACUCGUUCUGUCCGGUGAGGAGUGAUGCAGCUUGGGCUGACAAGAGGCUCCGGGAACCCUCACGUUCAGGGCUUUUUUACCUGCCAAUCAAAGUGCUACAAGACAACACCCUGAUCUGGCAUGGACGCUUUGGCGGCGCGGGUCCAAGCCUGUAGUCCCAAAUCGGAUAAUCUCUGCAACCGGUUACACGCAAAAGAAGCCAGGCAACAGACAUAUCACAGAAGAAAGCUCUCCACUCCGAGAUUGAACUUAGAAAUUUUAUUUUGCUCAAGACCCAUUUAAGAGAAUCUGAUGUGUUGCUUUGGUCUGAGAGUUCAGACAUGUCUUGCAAAACUAAGAAAGACCUCAUUUUCCGUUUGCUGGGUCCUUCUAUUUUGUCAGCCCUGGGCUCUAUGAGAAGCUUGCCAAGAGGUCCCGGCGCUGGAAGGACCAUGUGUUUUGUCUGCACAUAUGACUGUACCAUGGGCAUGCCUGGUGCCCAUGAAGUCAGAGGAUCCCCUGGGACUUCAGUUAUGGACAGGAGUGAGCUGCCAUGUGGGUAUCGGGAAUUGAACCUUGGUCCUCUGAAAGAACGGCCAGUGGUCUUAAGUGGAUGAGCCACCCCUCCAGCUCUGAGUGCUGUCUUUGAUUUCUGAUCAAACUCAGGCCUUAAUCCUGCUACACAAGAAUUUUUACCUCUGUGCCCUUUGAGCAGUGAACUAUCUUCCUACUCAACUCAUAUUAGAGGCUCAGGAGAGCCCCGGUUUCUACUGAGAUACACCUUCUGGCAUGAAGCACCCCAGUAAACUGUCAACUAAGGUUGCUUUUCAUCUGUUUGCCAAUUUGAAUUAUGUUGGAGGUUUCUCUUGGAUUCUCUUUGGUCCUUUGGAUGGCUGAAAAUUCUCUUGGCUCCAUGGCAUAUGGUUUGCUCAUCUGCUUGGGACCAUGAAAAUGCAUGUCAAGAAUGGUCAAGAUAUCCUGAGAUCUCCUUGGGGCACAAAUCAUCUUAGAGUUUCUCCUGAACUUUACAGGGAGUCCUGGAGGCCACUGAGUUUGGGAAGGGAGGAUUAAGGCUAGUGGGUAGAGCAGCUCCUCUGUCAGUUCUGUGUCUCCCUAAAGCAAAAGGGAGACACAGCAGUUCCUGGGAAAACCAGAGAGCCUGAGGGGUCCUCUGGGCGGAGCAUCUAGAACACUACCUGGGGCGAUGAGGGACUGUGGAGGAGGGGGAAGGUGACAAGGUCACCCUGUUCUCCUAGCCCGCCUGCAUUUUGUUUGCCAUCUUCUUGCCUCCCCUUUCCCAGUGUGGGGAUUGGCCACCAUCCAUGGCAUUGGCAUUGCUCUUUCUAAGUGAAAGUUACCAAUUUUAGAGGAGGUUUAAUUUUUUUCUAUUCUUUUUAAAAAUGUGUCAUGUGUCUUUAAUCAUCCUAUGGACUCCAGCAUAAGGUUGGGAGUGAAGGCUGGAGAAGUGGUUCAGCAGUUAAGAGCAUGUGCUGCUCUCGCAGAGAACUGGGGUUCAGUUGCCAGAACCCACAUGGUGGCUCACAACCACCUGUAACUCUGAUUCCAGGGAAUCUGCUACCCAAUGCUGACCUCUGCAAGCACUAGGCAUGCAUAUGAUGCACACACAAACAUGCAGGAAAAUGCUGGUAGAAUAGCCGUCGACUCAAAAAUAAAUAAAUAAAAUCUUUUUAAAAACUACAAUGCAGCCAGGCAUAGUGGCACAUACUUUUGAUUCCAGCACUUGGGGAGGCAGAAGCUGGCAGAUCCCUGUGAGUUCCAGGCCAAUCUGGUCUACAAAGUGAGUCCAGGGCAGCCAACGUUACACAGAGAAACCCUGUCUCAAAAAUCCAAAGUAGAGACAUGCUGGUAGAUAAUAAAUAUAAAUAAACAAAUAAAUAAAUAGAUAGAUAGAUAAAUAAAUAAUAUCAUAUAUAAUAUAAUAUAAUAUAAUAUAAUAUAAUAUAAUAUAAUAUAAUAUAAUAUAAUAUAAUAUAAUAUAAAUAAAUAUAAGGAGCUGGAGAGAUGGCUUGGUGGCUAAGAGCACUGUCUGCUCUUCCAAAGGACCUGACUUCAAUUCCCAGCACCCACACGGCAGCUCACAACUUUCUGUAACACCAGUUCCAAGGGAUCUGACACCCUUAAACCAGUGCACAUAAAAGAAAAUUAAUUUAAUUUUAAAAAUAAAAGGAAGAGAAGUGUUAGAGAAAAAUUCAGCCAAGAUAAGGGCUUUGACCUGGCUGAGAAAGGACAAACCUGGAGGCUAUAGCAGGAGGAGAGAAAGUUCAAGGCCAGACUGGACUACACAGUGAGAAGUGGCGUCAAAAACAGACCAGAUAAGGCAUUGCAAAGUCCACAGAAGGCAAGAGUUCUAGUUGACCCAGACCCGAUAGAUAAUGCCUGUGUCCUUGGGAGAAUGAUACUUGAACAGCAGGAGAAAACCAAGUGACCACCUGAGUUCCCAGUAGUGCAAACAGGAAGCAUAAACACCCUGAGGUCUGGACUGUCCUGGUGACAAUGACACAGGGACCCUCAGCCCCAGUUCCGACUAGGCCCAGCUUCUUACAACAAUCUACUGGGCUGCCAUGACUGUGGUCUCGCUACCUGUGUGCUCUCCUCCUAGGAGGGUCUGUAGGUUAGGACAAAGCUGUGGUCAGAAGGAAGCUUGAUGGGACAGAACCUUGGCCCCUCAUCUUUGGUUGAUGUCAUUGUCUUGACUCCACAGAAGUAUUUCAAGAGAAAGAUCUGGACUUCAGCGCUUUCUGGGUCGCUAUGGGCGGCUGAGAGCAGGUUUCCCUGAGCCCUGAAACUCAUGGCGCUCCAUUGAGGGUACAGAUAGGCCUAGUGACUCUGGGAAGAGGUCUCCUUCGGGUUUUGAAAUAAAAUAAUGUUCAAAUAGAAGCUCAAUGACAAUUUUGUUAGAGUUUAAAAGGAAAACCCCAGGUGUGUGUGGGGGAGCGGUACCUUUCAGGUUACAGGCUGGGAGGUCUUUUGCAAGGUGCAAGCAGCCACGUGGCAUGGAAAUGGGCUUUAGAGAAGGAGUUAGGAGGCCCAAAGUAUCAGAAAAGUUAUUCUUAGUUCAGGCUAGAAACUGGAAGAAGAGGAAGAAAGGGAAAGAGAAGGCUGUAGUAUGCUGUCUCCAGGAACCUCAGGGCUGCUCGCCUUGGCUUCAGUGCCUGCACCAGGGUCAGUAAUUCUGGGAAAGGAAAAUAUGGCCUCUCAAUAAAGGAAAAUGGCAUCUUCAGCAUGUCUUGAGGUAGACCUGCCUUACUACGGUGUCCAUUGUCCAGGUGGUUGACAAUCACCAUUCAUCUGGAAUGUUAGGUCUCCACCUAAGCCAGAGGCUCGGCUCUGUCUCUCUCCUCUAAUUUUGUAUUUUUGUUUUGUCUUGAGACAGGGUCUUGCUAUGUAAUACCAGCUGGCAUGGAACUCCACAGGUGUACCAGGCUGGCCUCAAACUCAGAGACCCCCAGGCCUCUGCUUCCUCUGUGCCAGAAGGAUCGGAGGCUUGUGUGUGUCAGCUCAUCAUUGGAUUGUAUUCUUUCGACUGGUUUUCCAUGAAGGGGCUGUUCUUGCUAGUCUAAUACCCCCAUUCCACAGAGGACGAAGCAGCCUGCCAGGAACAGGGUCUUGAAUGAUAUAAGGCACAUUCUCUGCAGCGGGGACACGUUCCCAUUUGUCUUUUUUCCCCCCCUUCAGAAGGGAUCUCAUGUUGCCCAGGUUGGCCAUGAACAUGUGAUCCUCCUGUUUCAUCAUUCCAAGGAUCCAGGGUGACAGGCCUGCCUCACCCUGACAGAUUUCAUGAUGACAUUAUAGAAAGGGGGAGGGGGCUGGAGAGAUGGCUCAAUGGUUAAGAGCACUGUCUGCUCUUCCAAAGGGCCCGGGUUCAAUUCCCAGCACCCCCAUGGCAGCUUACAACUGUAACUCCAAUUCUAAGGGAUUUGAAACAAUCACACCAAUGCACAUAAAAUAAAGAAUAAAUUAUUUUUUAAAAAGUAGAAGAAAAAAAAAGACUUAAACUAUCUUCAAGGCCAGGUGAAAUACCUAUCAGUGCCUAAGAGCUUUACGUCACAUUGAAAAUGCAUGCCCACAGUGCACUUUGCGGAAGCAUGGCAGUGUCGUGACGGACAAUGAGUUGUAACUAGCACAUUUGUUUUCCACAGGAGCUCUCAAGAGAAUAGGGUGUGUGUCUUUCCUCUUUCCAUUGCCCACCCCUGCCCCCAGCCCCAAAGGAUGCUUUCACCUUUCAGUCUUUUUUUAUCCUGAAGCUUCCCAGACUGUAUUGGAGGGCAAGGAAGCGUUUGGCCCACAGCAGUGAAAGAACGGUGUGGUGCCUUACCUUCUUGUUAUCCACUUGGGGAAGAAGAGCUAUUUCUGGAAAUUAAAAAAGAACAGAAAAAGGAAAAGAAGGAAGGGAGGAAAGUGUACAAAGAACCCUUCCUGUAAUGCAAGGUCUUUUGUUCUGUGGACAGACUUAGUUCAGUCAGUGAGUCUGGGCCUAGCACACUGUGUCAGUGCUGUCUGUCAGUGGUGACAGUCUCGGUAGAACAAUGGCAGGGCAGUUGGUGUCUCCUUAAUACCCUCAAAAUGCUAAGGAGCCUGGGCCCUACUGCCCGCCAAGCCUCUUCAUGCCAGCGCACACCUAAUCAUCCAGGACAGGAAAGCUGGGCAAUUAAUUUGACCUGAGCUACAUAGUGAAACCCUUUCUCAAAUCCCCAAAGCCAAAUCAAACCCAAACAAACAAACAAACAAACCAGAAACAACUGAGAUGGAUCUACCUGGCGAAGACCUCAGCCCCUGAGUUCCUUCCCAGGUUGGACUUUAAUGUAUGACUGUCUUUUUUCCUGUGACGGGGGCGCUAAAAGCAGGACACAUACAUCCACUUAAGAGUUGCCUUUUUUGGAAGGCUGUGAAAUAAAGAAUUAGGAAAGAGGAAUCAGUUAACCGAGGGGGUGGUGGUGGACUUUCAGAAGAGGGUCAGGGCGGUGCAAGCUCCUUUCCGAUCUUCAGUCACAGUGCUCCACACGUGUGUGGUUUCCUUCCCAAGAGAAACAUAAGUGUUCUGGAGAGAAAGGAAAAGAGAAUCAAAGCCGUCAGAAACAGCCCUGCCAAUACUGAUCUCUUAGAGCUGAAAAAGAAAGUUCUACCUGGAAGAAUUUGAAUGGAAAAGAAGGAAACUCACGGUACACUGUUAUGUGCAAGACAGAGUGAGAAAUUAUUAUACUUGUCAAGAUGGGCAUGAUGGCACAUGCUUAAAGUUCCAGCACUCAGGAAAUAGAGAUGGGGGGAUCGCUAGUUCAAAACCAGCCUUGGGUACAAAGUGAGUUGUAGGCUAGAAAGGGUGGAGUGUGGUGAUGCGCUGUCUUUCAGGUGUGGCAUGACCCUGCACUCAUGGAGUCAGCCAUGGUGAGCUGCAGAAGACCUGCACAACACGGGGUCCAUGAAAAUCUACUCCAGGCAAGGAAGUAAGGAGGGAGAGACCCUUUCUUCACUGACAUAGCCACAGGUAAUGUGCCCAUGUUUCUAUAAACUCUCACCCAUAAUCCUGUAAGCCACCUAAAUGAAACUCUUGGGGACUCUCUACUCCUCUCCUUCUUCCUCUCCCUCUCUCUCUCUCUCUCAGUAUGAAGGAAGGGGGAUAUACUGGAAUUGAAACCCUCAUGAUUUUCUUAGUAAGUCUUUCUCCUUUGUGUUUCUUUGGGACAGGGUCUCACUCUGUAGGCCUAGCUGGCCUACUGUGACUUACUAAGUAGCUCAUGCUUUCCUGAAACUUGCAGUCAUCCUCCUGUCUCUGUUUUCUUAGCCCCGGUAAAUCUUUGUAAAGGGAAAUCAAUAAAAGAGUAUUUUGGUUUGAUGCUUGAGUACUUAAAUCUUUGAAAUGCUUCAGAUUUUAUUCAUAAGUCAGUAAUGGACUAGAUGUGGUGCCAGCUAGUUUUAGAUCAACUUGACACAGCUGGAGUUAACUAAAAGGAGGGAACCUUAAUUGAAAAAAAAAAAAGCCUCUAUAUAUUCCUGCUGUAGGGUAGUUUCUUAAUUAGUGAUUGAGGGAGGAGGGCUCAACCCAUUGUGGGUGAUACCAUUCUUGGGCUGGUGGUUUGGGUUGUAUUAGAAAGUUGGCUGAGAGUGCAGGGCAUAGUGGCACACACCUGAAUCCCAGAUCUCUGAGAGUUUGGGGCCAGCGUGGCCUACAAAGUGAGUCCAGGACAGCCAAGGCUACACAGAGAAACCCUGUCUUGGAAAAAAAAAAAAAACUGGCUGAGAAAGUUAGGAUGAGUAAGCAGCGCUUCUCCAUAGCCUCUGCAUCAGCUCUUUCCUCCAGGUUCCUGCCCUGCUUGAGUUCCUUCUGCUCUUGAUGAUGAACUAAACCCUUUUUCUUCCCCAGGUUGCUUUUAUUUGUUUGUUUUCUUUUCUUUUUCUCAAGGCAUGGUUUCUCUGUGUAGCUCUGGCUGUCCUGGACUCCCUCUGUAGAGCAGGCUGUCUCUGCCUCAUCCUGGGUGCUGGGAUUAAUGGCAUAAACCACCAUUGUUGGGCUCCCCAGGUCGCUUUUGGUCCUGAUGUUCCAUCAGCAAUUGUACCUCUAACUGAGACACACACACACACCUGUAAUCAGGAGGUGAGGCUGGAGGACCAGGAUGUCAAGGUAAUCUUUAGUUAUUUAAUGAGUUUGAGGUUAACCUGGACGAUAACAAAAAAGAACAACAACAAAAAAGAAGCUUCAGAGCACUUGUUUAUUAUACUCUAGAUCCCAUUUAUUUAGAAAACUUGUAUAUUUAUGUAAAACUCCAAAAUCUGGUCUAAAGGGCCACUUCAUAUGGUAAAGGUGCUUGUUGCCAAGCCUGGUGAUCUAAGUUUCAGUCCUGGAUACCACAUGGUAGAAGAAAAAAAACCCAACGUUCACAAGUUGUCCUUUGACCUCCACAGGUGAAUACACACACACAAAUAAACAGAAGCUUAGUUUGGGAUUGCAGAGUUGGCUCCGCAGUUAAAAGCCCUUGCUGCCCCUUGCAGAGGACCCAGGUUUAGCUCUUAGCACCCACAUGGCAGCUCACAAGUGUCUGUAACUCCAGUUUCCAGGGGUUCGGAGACCCAGUACACAGAUAGAACAUGCAUGAGACAAACUAAAUACAUCUUUAAAAAACAAAAUAAAAAAUAAAUGAUUUUAA